RNAcentral lists this ribosomal RNA (468 nucleotides) under uncultured bacterium. RNAcentral's name for it is "partial 16S ribosomal RNA". It matches the Rfam family "Bacterial small subunit ribosomal RNA", at positions 28 to 507 of the family's 1533-position model. The record is from RNAcentral.
GACGAACGCUGGCGGCGUGCUUAACACAUGCAAGUCGAACGGAAAGGUCCUGCUUUUGUGCGGAGCUCGAGUGGCGAACGGGUAAGUAACACGUGAGUAACCUGUCCUUGACCUUGGGAUAACUUCAGGAAACUGGGGCUAAUACCGGAUAGGAGCUCCUGCUGCAUGGUGGGGGCUGGAAAGAUUCGGCGGUUGGUGAUGGACUCGCGGCUUAUCAGCUUGUUGGUGGGGUAGUGGCAUACCAAGGCUUUGACGGCUAGCCUGCCUGAGAGGGGAACCGGCCACGUUGGAACGGAGAUACGGCCCAGCCUCCAACGGGAGGCAGCAGAGGAGAAUAGUGCACGAGGGGCGGGAGCCUGAUGCAGUCACGCCGCGCGCGGGAUGACAGCCUUCGGGUUGUAUACCGCAUUCGCCUGUGACGAGGCGUGAGUGACAGUAAUGGGUAAAGAAGCACCGGCUAACUACGUG